This 441-nucleotide ribosomal RNA is filed under the name uncultured bacterium. RNAcentral describes it as "partial 16S ribosomal RNA". It matches the Rfam family "Bacterial small subunit ribosomal RNA", at positions 338 to 795 of the family's 1533-position model. The record is from RNAcentral.
CCUACGGGAGGCAGCAGUGGGGAAUAUUGGGCAAUGGGCGCAAGCCUGACCCAGCAAUGCCGCGUGAAGGAAGAAGGCUUUCGGGUUGUAAACUUCUUUGACAGGGGAAGAGCAGAAGACGGUACCCUGAAAACAAGCCACGGCUAACUACGUGCCAGCAGCCGCGGUAAUACGGAGGAUGCGAGCGUUAUCCGGAUUUAUUGGGUUUAAAGGGUGCGCAGGCGGAAGAUCAAGUCAGCGGUAAAAUUGAGAGGCUCAACCUCUUCGAGCCGUUGAAACUGGUUUUCUUGAGUGAGUGAGAAGUAUGCGGAAUGCGUGGUGUAGCGGUGAAAUGCAUAGAUAUCACGCAGAACUCCGAUUGCGAAGGCAGCAUACCGGCGCUCAACUGACGCUCAUGCACGAAAGUGUGGGUAUCGAACAGGAUUAGAUACCCGAGUAGUC